Ribosomal RNA from Fukomys damarensis (Damara mole-rat), 108 nucleotides. Lineage: Eukaryota; Metazoa; Chordata; Mammalia; Rodentia; Bathyergidae. The record is from Ensembl.
AGUUACAGCCAUACCACCCUGAAUGUGCUCAAUCUUGUCUGAUUUCGGAAGCUAAGCAGGGUCAGGACUGAUCAGGACUUGGAUGGGAGAAAGCCAAUGUUAUAAAUA